RNAcentral lists this ribosomal RNA (562 nucleotides) under Streptococcus salivarius. RNAcentral's name for it is "bacterial SSU rRNA". It matches the Rfam family "Bacterial small subunit ribosomal RNA", at positions 333 to 886 of the family's 1533-position model. Lineage: Bacteria; Bacillati; Bacillota; Bacilli; Lactobacillales; Streptococcaceae. The record is from RNAcentral.
AGCCCCCUAGGGGGGGGGCCAGUUGGGAAUCUUCGGCAAUGGGGGCAACCCUGACCGAGCAACGCCGCGUGAGUGAAGAAGGUUUUCGGAUCGUAAAGCUCUGUUGUAAGUCAAGAACGAGUGUGAGAGUGGAAAGUUCACACUGUGACGGUAGCUUACCAGAAAGGGACGGCUAACUACGUGCCAGCAGCCGCGGUAAUACGUAGGUCCCGAGCGUUGUCCGGAUUUAUUGGGCGUAAAGCGAGCGCAGGCGGUUUGAUAAGUCUGAAGUUAAAGGCUGUGGCUCAACCAUAGUUCGCUUUGGAAACUGUCAAACUUGAGUGCAGAAGGGGAGAGUGGAAUUCCAUGUGUAGCGGUGAAAUGCGUAGAUAUAUGGAGGAACACCGGUGGCGAAAGCGGCUCUCUGGUCUGUAACUGACGCUGAGGCUCGAAAGCGUGGGGAGCGAACAGGAUUAGAUACCCUGGUAGUCCACGCCGUAAACGAUGAGUGCUAGGUGUUGGGUCCUUUCCGGGAUUCAGUGCCGCAGCUAACGCAUUAAGCACUCCGCCUGGGAGACAUCCA